This 403-nucleotide ribosomal RNA is filed under the name uncultured bacterium. RNAcentral describes it as "partial 16S ribosomal RNA". It matches the Rfam family "Bacterial small subunit ribosomal RNA", at positions 30 to 526 of the family's 1533-position model. The record is from RNAcentral.
AUUGAAAGCUGGCGGCAGGCCUAACACAUGCAAGUCGAGCGAGCGGCGGACGGGUGAGUAAUGUAUGGGGACUGCCCGAUAGAGGGGGAUAACUACUGGAAACGGUGGAUAAUACCGCAUACUAUCGGAUACCCCCAAUGGGUUUCGCUAGUAGGUGGGGUAAAGGCUCACCUAGGCGACGAUAUCUAGCUGGUCUGAGAGGAUGAUCGUCCACACUGGGAUGGAGUUACGGCCCAGACUCCUACGGAGGGAGCAUGGGGGUAUAUUUCACAAUGGGCGAAAGCCUGAUGCGGCGACGCCGCGGGGGGGAUGAAGGCUUUCGGGUUGUAAACCUCUUUCGCUAUCGAACGGGUAGGUGGAGAAGAAGCGCCGGCUAACUACGUGCCAGCCGCCGCGGUAAUAC